RNAcentral lists this ribosomal RNA (924 nucleotides) under uncultured Mycobacterium sp. RNAcentral's name for it is "bacterial SSU rRNA". It matches the Rfam family "Bacterial small subunit ribosomal RNA", at positions 98 to 1036 of the family's 1533-position model. Lineage: Bacteria; Bacillati; Actinomycetota; Actinomycetes; Mycobacteriales; Mycobacteriaceae. The record is from RNAcentral.
GCGAACGGGUGAGUAACACGUGGGUAAUCUGCCCUGCACUUCGGGAUAAGCCUGGGAAACUGGGUCUAAUACCGGAUAUGACCACGAGGCGCAUGCCUUGUGGUGGAAAGCUUUUGCGGUGUGGGAUGGGCCCGCGGCCUAUCAGCUUGUUGGUGGGGUGAUGGCCUACCAAGGCGACGACGGGUAGCCGGCCUGAGAGGGUGUCCGGCCACACUGGGACUGAGAUACGGCCCAGACUCCUACGGGAGGCAGCAGUGGGGAAUAUUGCACAAUGGGCGCAAGCCUGAUGCAGCGACGCCGCGUGGGGGAUGACGGCCUUCGGGUUGUAAACCUCUUUCAGCAGGGACGAAGCGCAAGUGACGGUACCUGCAGAAGAAGCACCGGCCAACUACGUGCCAGCAGCCGCGGUAAUACGUAGGGUGCGAGCGUUGUCCGGAAUUACUGGGCGUAAAGAGCUCGUAGGUGGUUUGUCGCGUUGUUCGUGAAAACCGGGGGCUUAACCCUCGGCGUGCGGGCGAUACGGGCAGACUGGAGUACUGCAGGGGAGACUGGAAUUCCUGGUGUAGCGGUGGAAUGCGCAGAUAUCAGGAGGAACACCGGUGGCGAAGGCGGGUCUCUGGGCAGUAACUGACGCUGAGGAGCGAAAGCGUGGGGAGCGAACAGGAUUAGAUACCCUGGUAGUCCACGCCGUAAACGGUGGGUACUAGGUGUGGGUUUCCUUCCUUGGAAUCCGUGCCGUAGCUAACGCAUUAAGUACCCCGCCUGGGGAGUACGGCCGCAAGGCUAAAACUCAAAGAAAUUGACGGGGGCCCGCACAAGCGGCGGAGCAUGUGGAUUAAUUCGAUGCAACGCGAAGAACCUUACCUGGGUUUGACAUGCACAGGACGCCGGCAGAGAUGUCGGUUCCCUUGUGGCCUGUGUGCA